This 489-nucleotide ribosomal RNA is filed under the name uncultured bacterium. RNAcentral describes it as "bacterial SSU rRNA". It matches the Rfam family "Bacterial small subunit ribosomal RNA", at positions 8 to 518 of the family's 1533-position model. The record is from RNAcentral.
AGAGUUUGAUCAUGGCUCAGAAUGAACGCUGGCGGCAUGGAUUAGGCAUGCAAGUCGAACGUACUCCCUUCGGGGAGAAAGUGGCGAAAGGGUGAGUAACACGUGAGCAACCUGCCUCCGGAUCCGGAAUAAUCCAGGGAAACUUGGUCUAAAACCGGAUGAAGACAUUGGUCCGCAUGGUCUAAUGUUAAAAUAUUUAUAGUCCGGAGAGGGGCUCGCGGCCCAUUAGCUUGUUGGCGGGGUAAUGGCCCACCAAGGCUACGACGGGUAGGUGGUCUGAGAGGAUGGUCACCCACACUGGGACUGAGACACUGCCCAGACUCCUACGGGAGGCUGCAGUCGAGAAUCUUCCGCAAUGGGCGCCAAGCCUGACGGAGCGAUGCCGCGUGAGGGAUGGAGGCCUUCGGGUUGUAAACCUCUGUCAUCCGGGACGAAAACAAUGACGGUACCGGAAAAGGAAGCCACGGCUAACCACGUGCCAGCCGCCGC